This 441-nucleotide ribosomal RNA is filed under the name uncultured bacterium. Its description in RNAcentral is "partial 16S ribosomal RNA". It matches the Rfam family "Bacterial small subunit ribosomal RNA", at positions 338 to 795 of the family's 1533-position model. The record is from RNAcentral.
CCUACGGGAGGCAGCAGUGGGGGAUAUUGCACAAUGGGGGGAACCCUGAUGCAGCGACGCCGCGUGGGUGAAGGAGUAUUUCGGUAUGUAAAGCCCUAUCGGCAGGGAAGAAUUUAGACGGUACCUGACUCAGAAGCCCCGGCUAACUACGUGCCAGCAGCCGCGGUAAUACGUAGGGGGCAAGCGUUAUCCGGAUUCACUGGGUGGAAAGGGAGCGUAGACGGCCAGGCAAGCCUGGAGUGAAAGCCCGGGGCCCAACCCCGGGACUGCUCUGGGAACUGUCCGGCUGGAGUGCGGGAGGGGCAGGCGGAAUUCCUGGUGUAGCGGUGAAAUGCGUAGAUAUCAGGAGGAACACCGGCGGCGAAGGCGGCCUGCUGGACCGCGACUGACGUUGAGGCUCGAAAGCGUGGGGAGCGAACAGGAUUAGAUACCCCAGUAGUC